Molecule: ribosomal RNA, 472 nt
Filed under: uncultured bacterium
Lineage: Bacteria
Description: partial 16S ribosomal RNA
Rfam family: Bacterial small subunit ribosomal RNA
Source: RNAcentral
GACGAACGCUGGCGGCGUGCUUAACACAUGCAAGUCGAACGCUGAAGCUUGGUGCUUGCGCUGGGUGGGUGAGUGGCGAACGGGUGAGUAAUACGUGAGUAACCUGCCCUUGACUCUGGGAUAAGCCUGGGAAACUGGGUCUAAUACUGGAUACGACAUGUCACCGCAUGGUGGUGUGUGGAAAGGGUUUUACUGGUUUUGGAUGGGCUCACGGCCUAUCAGCUUGUUGGUGGGGUAAUGGCUCACCAAGGCGACGACGGGUAGCCGGCCUGAGAGGGUGACCGGCCACACUGGGACUGAGACACGGCCCAGACUCCUACGGGAGGCAGCAGUGGGGAAUAUUGCACAAUGGGCGGAAGCCUGAUGCAGCGACGCCGCGUGAGGGAUGACGGCCUUCGGGUUGUAAACCUCUUUCAGCACGGAAGAAGCGAAAGUGACGGUACGUGCAGAAGAAGCGCCGGCUAACUACGUG